CGGGGAAUAUUGCACAAUGGGCGAAAGCCUGAUGCAGCGACGCCGCGUGAGGGAUGACGGCCUUCGGGUUGUAAACCUCUUUCAGCAGGGAAGAAGCGAAAGUGACGGUACCUGCAGAAGAAGCGCCGGCUAACUACGUGCCAGCAGCCACGGUAAUACGUAGGGCGCAAGCGUUGUCCGGAAUUAUUGGGCGUAAAGAGCUCGUAGGCGGUUAGUCGCGUCUGCUGUGAAAACUCGAGGCUCAACCUCGGGCUUGCAGUGGGUACGGGCUGACUAGAGUGCGGUAGGGGUGACUGGAAUUCCUGGUGUAGCGGUGGAAUGCGCAGAUAUCAGGAGGAACACCGAUGGCGAAGGCAGGUCACUGGGCCGCAACUGACGCUGAGGAGCGAAAGCAUGGGGAGCGAACAGGAUUAGAUACCCUGGUAGUCCAUGCCGUAAACGUUGGGCACUAGGUGUGGGGUCCAUUCCACGGAUUCCGUGCCGCAGCAAACGCAUUAAGUGCCCCGCCUGGGGAGUACGGCCGCAAGGCUAAAACUCAAAGGAAUUGACGGGGUCAUAGCUGUUUCC
RNAcentral lists this ribosomal RNA (567 nucleotides) under uncultured bacterium. RNAcentral's name for it is "partial 16S ribosomal RNA". It matches the Rfam family "Bacterial small subunit ribosomal RNA", at positions 355 to 937 of the family's 1533-position model. The record is from RNAcentral.